GAAGAGGGAGAAUGUAAAAGAAAUUUUGGGAUAACUUCAUACUUUCAAAAUAAAAUAAAUAAAUAAUUAAAACUUUAAAACAAAACAAAAUAAAACUUAAACCAAAACUAGAAUAAAAUUAAUUCCACUUUUAACACACAGGAGGACUCAAACCUAAGACCCAAAGGUAAACUAACACAACCACUACCACUAAAUCAGCAGGCUCAUUCUACUCCCAAAUUCUAAGGAAAAAUAUAAAAUCUAUACGAAACCAUUAACUUAUUAGGAAACCUAAUGUAACACUCC
This 285-nucleotide long non-coding RNA is filed under the name Gossypium raimondii (Peruvian cotton). Its description in RNAcentral is "long non-coding RNA (GRAI_LNC007537)". Lineage: Eukaryota; Viridiplantae; Streptophyta; Magnoliopsida; Malvales; Malvaceae. The record is from RNAcentral.